This 403-nucleotide ribosomal RNA is filed under the name uncultured bacterium. RNAcentral's name for it is "partial 16S ribosomal RNA". It matches the Rfam family "Bacterial small subunit ribosomal RNA", at positions 28 to 526 of the family's 1533-position model. The record is from RNAcentral.
GACGAACGCUGGCGGCGUGCCUAAUACAUGCAAGUCGAACGCAGUGGGGACGGGUGAGUAACACGUGGGUAACCUCCCCUCAGAGGGGAUAACCCUUGGAAACAGGUGCUAAACCGAUACUGAUGGAGGGCCCCGCGGUUCAUUAGCUAGUUGGUGAGGUAACGGCUCACCAAGGCCACGCUGCAUAGCCGCCGGGAGAGGGUGUUGGGCACAACGGGGACUGGAACACGGCCAAGACUCCUACGUGAGGAAGAAGUGGGGAAUCUUCGGCAAUGGACGAAAGUCUGACCGAGAACGGCCGCGGAGUGGAAGAAGGUUUUCGGAGCGUAAAACUCUGUUGUUAGAGAAGCGGUAUCUAACCAGAAAGCCACGGCUAACUACGUGCCAGCAGCCGCGGUAAUUC